This 85-nucleotide transfer RNA is filed under the name Candidatus Palauibacterales bacterium. Its description in RNAcentral is "tRNA-Ser". It matches the Rfam family "tRNA". Rfam says of the family: Transfer RNA (tRNA) molecules are approximately 80 nucleotides in length. Their secondary structure includes four short double-helical elements and three loops (D, anti-codon, and T loops). Lineage: Bacteria; Pseudomonadati; Gemmatimonadota; Gemmatimonadia; Candidatus Palauibacterales. RNAcentral also lists the same sequence under 2 other names. The record is from RNAcentral.
GGAGGGGUGGCUGAGUGGCUUAAAGCGGCGCCCUGCUAAGGCGUUGGGCCUCGUGCCCACGAGGGUUCGAAUCCCUCCCCCUCCG